This 531-nucleotide ribosomal RNA is filed under the name uncultured Methanomicrobiales archaeon. Its description in RNAcentral is "bacterial SSU rRNA". It matches the Rfam family "Archaeal small subunit ribosomal RNA", at positions 339 to 874 of the family's 1478-position model. Lineage: Archaea; Methanobacteriati; Methanobacteriota; Methanomicrobia; Methanomicrobiales. The record is from RNAcentral.
GCGCGAAAACUUUACCAUGCGGGCAACCGUGAUAAGGAAACCCCGAGUGCUAGUAUAGACUAGCUGUCCAUUAGUUUAAAUUGCUAGUGAAGAAAGGGCCGGGCAAGACCGGUGCCAGCCGCCGCGGUAAUACCGGCGGCUCGAGUGGUGGCCGCUAUUACUGGGCUUAAAGGGUCCGUAGCUUGAUGCACAAGUCCCUUGAGAAAUCCGCCGGCUUAACUGGCGGGCGUUCAGGGGAAACUGUGUUUCUAGGGACCGGGAGAGGUGAGAGGUACUGCCGGGGUAGGAGUGAAAUCCUGUAAUCCCGGUGGGACCACCUAUGGCGAAGGCAUCUCACCAGAACGGCUCCGACAGUGAGGGACGAAAGCUGGGGGAGCAAACCGGAUUAGAUACCCGGGUAGUCCCAGCUGUAAACGAUGCGCGUUAGGUGUGUCAGUGACCACGUGUCACUGAGGUGCCGAAGGGAACCGUGAAACGCGCCGCCUGGGGACGUACGGUCGCAAGGCUAGAAACUUAAGGAUUGGGCGGGGA